GAUGAACGCUAGCGGCAGGCCUAAUACAUGCAAGUCGGACGGGAUUCAGGAGCUUGCUUCUGAUGAGAGUGGCGCACGGGUGCGUAGCACGUAUGUAACCUACCUUUAUCGGGGGGAUAGCCUCUCGAAAGAGAGAUUAAGCCCGCAUAAAAUCACAGCACAGCAUUGUGUAAUGAUCAAAUAUUUAUAGGAUAAAGAUGGGCAUGCGGAACAUUAGCUAGAUGGCGGGGUAACGGCCCACCAUGGCGACGAUGUUUAGGGGAUCUGAGAGGAUGGCCCCCCACACUGGUACUGAGACACGGACCAGACUCCUACGGGAGGCAGCAGUAAGGAAUAUUGGUCAAUGGGCGGAAGCCUGAACCAGCCAUGCCGCGUGCAGGAAGACGGCCCUACGGGUUGUAAACUGCUUUUAUACGGGAAUAAACCCAGAUACGUGUAUCUGGCUGAAUGUACUGUAAGAAUAAGGAUCGGCUAACUCCGUG
This 482-nucleotide ribosomal RNA is filed under the name uncultured bacterium. RNAcentral's name for it is "partial 16S ribosomal RNA". It matches the Rfam family "Bacterial small subunit ribosomal RNA", at positions 28 to 507 of the family's 1533-position model. The record is from RNAcentral.